This is a non-coding RNA of Microcebus murinus (gray mouse lemur), 1272 nucleotides long. NCBI's taxonomy places the organism in Eukaryota, Metazoa, Chordata, Mammalia, Primates, Cheirogaleidae. The record is from RefSeq and is a predicted model, not a curated record.
ACCACCGCAGGGUAUCGCGAGAGCGCGUCUGGGCCGGAAGCUGGAGCCACCAGCCUGUCCCGUGCCCUAGGAGGCUGAGAAAGUGCGUCACUGGCUUCCCCAUUAGGGAGGCAGGUGUGAGCUCGGUCAGGUUGCGCUGCUGUGACAAAUUAUCGCAGACCGGCGGCUGAGAGGACGGACGCUACUGCUCGCAGUUCUGGAGGCUGAAGGCUGAGCUGUUUAUUGACACGCGCUAGGUGUCAGGGACUGUUCCAGGCACCUGGGAUACAGCUGUGAACAAGCCCCUCACCCCAGCGCCGGCGCAGACAGUAAACCAGCCAGCGAUGGGCUAGAUGGUGAUGGCCGCUCGUUUGUAGAUGUGAAACUCAAGCCCUGGAAGAAGCGACAUCAGUAACUCCUUGUUUUGAAGUCAAGUCAACAAGCAUUGGCUCAUUCCAAGAAAAUGCUGGCUACUGGUUAAAUCUGUCUUGGAUGUACAAUGAGAACGUGGCCACACGUAGGAAGCGCCCAGCACCUACACCGAGAUGGGCAUCUCAGCUUGGUGUAAAGGACCCUCAUUUGCCAAUGCCCACAGCUUUUAUUGGGACCCUUAAAAGAACCAACACACUUAGCCCUCUGGGACCAACAACGCAACCUUAUCAUCUGACAAGGAUGCAGGCUCCUGGGGUAGGCUGCCCAGCUUCUGCACCUGCUUCCAUCACCUACAAGCUCAUGAGUCUGUACAGUAUUUAAUUAUCAUGCCUCAGUUUCCCCAUCUAUAAAGUGGGGAUGAUAAUAAUUGUCCUUCCUUUGUAGAGUUGUUGUGAGGCAUAAAUGGGUUAUUAUACGUGAAGCACUGUUAGUUCCUGGCAACACAGAAAGUUGUCAGCUCUGGCUGCUUCUGAGCAAAAGGGCCACAGCAUGGUGUUGGGGCAGCGCACCCAUAGCCUGGCUCCUGGGAACCAGCAGCCCUCCCAGGGUCUUCCUUGGUGUUCCUGGGCCCACCGCCAGCCUCGGCACUGCCAGUAGCCAAUAAUUUUCUCUGCCCUCAACGUAGACAAUUCGUCCACCCCUCUCCCCUUCCUCCACAUUGCUUAAGUGAGGCAGGCAGGGCCUGCCUCAUUCAGUAAAAUUCCUUAUUUUACUGACCUUAGAAAGAUGGAAACAGAGGCUCUGAGGAUUGCGGUGCUCAGUCCAAGCCAACUCAGCUGUGUCUGGGACAGAUUUGCAGCUGCUGACUCCGAGUGCCUGCUGGUGCAGCGAGGCGGCCACGGGCCAGCUGGUCGUGCUGGU